CUCCCGAGUCCUGGCACUGGCUUUAGGCCCCAACAAGAACGGCGAAAGAAGGGAUCCGCAGCAACAACGUUGCGCCGCCGCUCCGCCCGUGCGCUCCCCACCCCCGAUCCGCCCCGAGCCCACCAGGCCUCCGAACGCCGCCGUCGAGCUCCUCUGCCGGACACCAUGGCCAUGGACUAAAGCUCCGCCGGACCUUCCCUCGCGAGUGCCGGCCCUCCUCCCGACUAAAUCGGCGACGGCGACGAACGGUGAUGAACACAUGCCUACCCCCUUCUUAAUUCUCCCGGGCAGUCUGUGAUGCAGAUGCCGCCGCUGCCAUUCUUCCGCACAGCCGAGGACGCGAAAGUCGUUGUUGUCUGCAACUCAGCUGCCUCCAUCCUGUUGCCCUGCGAAGUUGAGGAGGGUUUGUUGUCCGGACAUCGCAUCCUCCUGCUUGUCCUCUACCACAGGGUCGUUGCCAUCUUCAGUCACCACGGCCACCUCUGCCAUGUCCUCUACCACGGGUUCAAUAGGGGCAUACCACCGCAUGUCCUCUUCACAUGAUAG
RNAcentral lists this ribosomal RNA (546 nucleotides) under Triticum aestivum (bread wheat). Its description in RNAcentral is "partial small subunit ribosomal RNA". Lineage: Eukaryota; Viridiplantae; Streptophyta; Magnoliopsida; Poales; Poaceae. The record is from RNAcentral.